Molecule: ribosomal RNA, 734 nt
Filed under: Salmonella enterica
Lineage: Bacteria; Pseudomonadati; Pseudomonadota; Gammaproteobacteria; Enterobacterales; Enterobacteriaceae
Also listed under: 1 other name
Description: partial 23S ribosomal RNA
Rfam family: Bacterial large subunit ribosomal RNA
Source: RNAcentral
UGUGGCUGGGGGUGAAAGGCCAAUCAAACCGGGAGAUAGCUGGUUCUCCCCGAAAGCUAUUUAGGUAGCGCCUCGUGAACUCAUCUUCGGGGGUAGAGCACUGUUUCGGCUAGGGGGUCAUCCCGACUUACCAACCCGAUGCAAACUGCGAAUACCGAAGAAUGUUAUCACGGGAGACACACGGCGGGUGCUAACGUCCGUCGUGAAGAGGGAAACAACCCAGACCGCCAGCUAAGGUCCCAAAGUCACAGUUAAGUGGGAAACGAUGUGGGAAGGCUCAGACAGCCAGGAUGUUGGCUUAGAAGCAGCCAUCAUUUAAAGAAAGCGUAAUAGCUCACUGGUCGAGUCGGCCUGCGCGGAAGAUGUAACGGGGCUAAACUGUGCACCGAAGCUGCGGCAGCGACGCUUAUGCGUUGUUGGGUAGGGGAGCGUUCUGUAAGCCUGCGAAGGUGUCCUGUGAGGGAUGCUGGAGGUAUCAGAAGUGCGAAUGCUGACAUAAGUAACGAUAAUGCGGGUGAAAAGCCCGCUCGCCGGAAGACCAAGGGUUCCUGUCCAACGUUAAUCGGGGCAGGGUGAGUCGACCCCUAAGGCGAGGCCGAAAGGCGUAGUCGAUGGGAAACGGGUUAAUAUUCCCGUACUUGGUGUUACUGCGAAGGGGGGACGGAGAAGGCUAUGUUGGCCGGGCGACGGUUGUCCCGGUUUAAGCGUGUAGGCUGGUUUUCCAGGCAAAUCCG